GCGUGAGCGAUGAAGGCCUUAGGGUUGUAAAGCUCUUUUACCCGGGAUGAUAAUGACAGUACCGGGAGAAUAAGCCCCGGCUAACUCCGUGCCAGCAGCCGCGGUAAUACGGAGGGGGCUAGCGUUGUUCGGAAUUACUGGGCGUAAAGCGCACGUAGGCGGCGAUUUAAGUCAGAGGUGAAAGCCUGGAGCUCAACUCCAGAACUGCCUUUGAGACUGGAUUGCUAGAAUCUUGGAGAGGCGGGUGGAAUUCCGAGUGUAGAGGUGAAAUUCGU
This 275-nucleotide ribosomal RNA is filed under the name uncultured bacterium. RNAcentral's name for it is "partial 16S ribosomal RNA". It matches the Rfam family "Bacterial small subunit ribosomal RNA", at positions 399 to 691 of the family's 1533-position model. The record is from RNAcentral.